CCCUUAGAUGUCCUGGGCCGCACGCGCGCUACACUGACAUGUUCAACAAGCCUCCUAGUUCGACAGGAUUUGGGAAAUCUUUGAACGCAUGUCGUGAUAGGGAUAGAUCAUUGCAAUUAUUGAUCUUGAACGAGGAAUUCCUAGUAAACGCGAGUCAUCAGCUCGCAUUGAUUACGUCCCUGCCCUUUGUACACACCGCCCGUCGCACCUACCGAUUGAAUGUUUCGGUGAAGAUUCCGGAUAAGACUUUUUUGAUUUAUUUCAAUUUUGUCUUAAAAGCUAUCUAAACCUCAACAUUUAGAGGAAGGUGAAGUCGUAACA
Molecule: ribosomal RNA, 321 nt
Filed under: uncultured eukaryote
Lineage: Eukaryota
Description: partial 18S ribosomal RNA
Rfam family: Eukaryotic small subunit ribosomal RNA
Source: RNAcentral